UGGCGGACGGGUGAGUAAUGUCUGGGAAACCGCCUGAUGGAGGGGGAUAACUACUGGAAACGGUAGCUAAUACCGCAUAACGUCGCAAGACCAAAGAGGGGGACCUUAGGGCCUCUUGCCAUCGGAUGUGCCCAGAUGGGAUUAGCUAGUAGGUGGGGUAAUGGCUCACCUAGGCGACGAUCCCUAGCUGGUCUGAGAGGAUGACCAGCCACACUGGAACUGAGACACGGUCCAG
Molecule: ribosomal RNA, 235 nt
Filed under: uncultured bacterium
Lineage: Bacteria
Description: partial 16S ribosomal RNA
Rfam family: Bacterial small subunit ribosomal RNA
Source: RNAcentral